GUGAAAUACCGGGCACUGGUGUACGGUUGACAGCGUUUUAAGCGUGCUAGGCUAGUGUACAUCCAGUAUUAGCUCAGUCGGAGAGUAGUUUAAAACACCAGUACUGCACUCAGAGAGAUACAGAUUUUAUUCAUUUUACCUUUGAGACUCAAAUAAAACUCAGGGUUUGCGUGGGAGAUGAAAUAUAAUAUACCUAUAAUAUCACACGUGAAAAUUAUAUAUACAAUUUAUCUUCGAUGGAAUUUUAAUCAUUAAUUUAAUUCGCAGGUAUUUUACAUAUAAUAUUUUAGCCUAUAGAAAUAGGUAACAUUUCGAUGAGAAAGAUUUAUUUUUAUUUUUUAUUCGAUGAAUUUUAAGAGAAGUCGAAGACAUACAAAUCAUACAACUGAAGCUGUAGGUAGAUAGCUGCUUUGGAUGCUGUGCCACCGAGUAUAUAAACACUCGGCGACACAGCUAAUCUGCGAGUAGCAGAAAUAGCGUAGUUUAGCCGAUCGAGUCGGAGCACCGGGCGUUACCACUUCAUUGCCCCGUCGAAACACAGUGUGGCAACACUGCGAAUCGACAAGCACAACUUCGUGGUAGCCCGGUGCCCCUCGGACGAAGCCCAAAAAAUUCCAGCACGCUGGCUUUUUUCGGCUUCGUUCGACUGGCUGCACUGUCGCUGAUCAAAAUAUUUACUUUUGACAAAAUGGCUUGUUUCUGUGUUUCGACUUCUCUUUACAUUAAAAAAUGGUUUAAAACGAACUAAUUAAAACCUUAAAACUAAUUUAAAAACGUGAUUAAAACGUAACAAUAUAAAUAGUUUAAAACUUUCAAACGGUUAAAACAACACCGUAGUGUUUUUAUAUACUUUUAUCGGGAGAAGCCCGUUACUUUAUGAUCGAUCACCGAUCUUCAUUUACAUUUCAAAGGAAAAAGAACAACAAUAUAAGAUUUCGAAGAUCGAACGAAGAAUACAACAAUCGGCCGCCAUGUUUUUGCUCGGUGAUUCACCGGUACUUAAUUUCAACACCAUUUCCAAAUUUGGAUUUUAUUUCGAUGUAAGUAUUUUUGAUGAGCGUAUGAAUAAAUUAAAUUUCGAAGAAAUUUCGUUGUUACUUUUAUUUUAUAAUUUUGUUCGUAGAUAUGAAGAUCCAAAUUUGUGACUAGAAUAUCGAUUAGUUUGCCCCGAGGCAUUUUGUAUUUAUUCGGUGAUAGCGAAUUACCCAUGACAGGUGAGUUCCGUUUUUGAAACCUGAUUUGUCUUCGAAUUAUUAAUUUUUUUCUGCCCUUCGUAGGCUGUUUCGAUACAUUUCCACGAUGAUACCGUUCGGUUCGAGAUGAUUUGUUUAAAACGUUCGCCAAAUUUGGAUGAUAGAAAAAGAGUGGCCAUGUUGCCAGCAUAAUCGUUCGAUGCUUUUACUACUUGGAUUCAUCAAUACGAAAUAGGUAAUUUGUUUUCCUAUAAUUUUGAUUUUAUUCGACGAGUUUAAUUUUGGAUUUUUCGUAGUACGAGAACUUUUUGCGCUGAAGGCGCUUUUGGAAAAACUAUCCGAACAGAUGAAAUACGACUUUACACGAUAAUUUUAUUUUGAUUUACCGAGCUAGUAUGUUGGAAGCUGGAUACUUCGAUGACAGGUGUUUUAUCGCAUGGACUUGCUCGUUCGUUGACCGGUGUUGAUUGUUAUUCUUUGUCGUUGGUGUUUUUGGAAACGGUUUCUUCGGCUUUGCUGUUCGGUAUCUUCGAUGAUCUUCGGUGGUACGUAUCUGUGAAAUUUUAAAUUCGGAUUACUUUU
This is a long non-coding RNA of Planococcus citri (citrus mealybug), 1775 nucleotides long. RefSeq lists it as uncharacterized. Lineage: Eukaryota; Metazoa; Arthropoda; Insecta; Hemiptera; Pseudococcidae. The transcript has 3 exons. The record is from RefSeq and is a predicted model, not a curated record.